RNAcentral lists this ribosomal RNA (510 nucleotides) under uncultured bacterium. Its description in RNAcentral is "partial 16S ribosomal RNA". It matches the Rfam family "Bacterial small subunit ribosomal RNA", at positions 28 to 507 of the family's 1533-position model. The record is from RNAcentral.
GACGAACGCUGGCGGCGUGCUUAACACAUGCAAGUCGAACGAAGAGCGAUGGAAGCUUGCUUCUAUCAAUCUUAGUGGCGAACGGGUGAGUAACGCGUAAUCAACCUGCCCUUCAGAGGGGGACAACAGUUGGAAACGACUGCUAAUACCGCAUACGAUCUAAUCUCGGCAUCGAGGAUAGAUGAAAGGUGGCCUCUACAUGUAAGCUAUCACUGAAGGAGGGGAUUGCGUCUGAUUAGCUAGUUGGAGGGGUAACGGCCCACCAAGGCGAUGAUCAGUAGCCAGUCUGAGAGGAUGAACGGCCACAUUGGGACUGAGACACGGCCCAGACUCCUACGGGAGGCAGCAGUGGGGAAUCUUCCGCAAUAGACGAAAGUCUGACGGAGCAACGCCGCGUGAGUGAUGACGGCCUUCGGGUUGUAAAGCUCUGUUAAUCGGGACGAAAGGCCUUCUUGCGAAUAGUGAGAAGGAUUGACGGUACCGGAAUAGAAAGCCACGGCUAACUACGUG